Molecule: microRNA precursor, 97 nt
Filed under: Vicugna pacos (alpaca)
Lineage: Eukaryota; Metazoa; Chordata; Mammalia; Artiodactyla; Camelidae
Description: miRNA (ENSVPAG00000017936.1)
Source: RNAcentral
UCACCUGGGGAUCUUGUUAACAUGCAAAUUUUGACUCAACAGGACUGGAAUGGGCCUGAGAUUCUGCAUUUCUAACAAGUGCCCAGGUGACGCUGCU